This 57-nucleotide ribosomal RNA is filed under the name Ophiostoma piceae. RNAcentral's name for it is "partial 28S ribosomal RNA". It matches the Rfam family "Eukaryotic large subunit ribosomal RNA", at positions 1 to 57 of the family's 3401-position model. RNAcentral also lists the same sequence under 1 other name. The record is from RNAcentral. Lineage: Eukaryota; Fungi; Ascomycota; Sordariomycetes; Ophiostomatales; Ophiostomataceae.
UGACCUCGGAUCAGGUAGGAUUACCCGCUGAACUUAAGCAUAUCAAUAAGCGGAGGA